RNAcentral lists this ribosomal RNA (428 nucleotides) under Verrucomicrobiota bacterium. RNAcentral describes it as "Verrucomicrobia bacterium partial 16S ribosomal RNA". It matches the Rfam family "Bacterial small subunit ribosomal RNA", at positions 355 to 776 of the family's 1533-position model. The record is from RNAcentral. Lineage: Bacteria; Pseudomonadati; Verrucomicrobiota.
UGGGGAAUCUUCCGCAAUGGACGAAAGUCUGACGGAGCAACGCCGCGUGAGUGAAGACGGCCUUCGGGUUGUAAAGCUCUGUGAUUCGGGACGAAAGGCCAUAUGUGAAUAAUAUAUGGAAAUGACGGUACCGAAAAAGCAAGCCACGGCUAACUACGUGCCAGCAGCCGCGGUAAUACGUAGGUGGCAAGCGUUGUCCGGAAUUAUUGGGCGUAAAGCGCGCGCAGGCGGUCACUUAAGUCCAUCUUAGAAGUGCGGGGCUUAACCCCGUGAUGGGAUGGAAACUGGGGGACUUGAGUAUCGGAGAGGAAAGUGGAAUUCCUAGUGUAGCGGUGAAAUGCGUAGAUAUUAGGAAGAACACCGGUGGCGAAGGCGACUUUCUGGACGAAAACUGACGCUGAGGCGCGAAAGCGUGGGGAGCAAACAGG